This 760-nucleotide long non-coding RNA is filed under the name Setaria viridis. RNAcentral describes it as "long non-coding RNA (SVIR_LNC003501)". The record is from RNAcentral. Lineage: Eukaryota; Viridiplantae; Streptophyta; Magnoliopsida; Poales; Poaceae.
GCAGGUGAGGUUGCAGAGGGUUUAGCCAAUAGAGUAAGGCAGAAGUCUAGCCGAUGGGAUCACAGGGGCUUAGCCGAUGGAGUCAGCCGAUGCGAGUAGGAGGGUUCUAGCCAAUUGGAAAUGUUGGAGGUUCGGCCGAUGAGGAGCAGGUUUUGGCCGGUAGAGGCCAAGUUCAUUUCCGACUCCUGCACAAGUUUUUUUAUUUAGAAAGUUUAUUUCUUUAGAGAUAGAUCUUAUGAUUUGUCGUAACCGACUAGGAUUAGAAAUCUUGAUGUAUAGGGUAUGAAUAGGAGCCUUGUAAGGUCUGGAGACACACAUCAUAAUCAAUACAAAUCUACUAUUUUCGUAAUUUACUUUCAAGUCGGCGACUUCGCCACCGUUUUCGUUUCUUCACGAGUUCUUCCAAACUAGUUGGGCUGUAUCGCUUCGAUCUCCAGCUAGACUGUAAGUUCCGCAUUUACCGAAAACUUCCUAGGCUUUAACUUCAGGCGCACCAUUGUCGUUUUGUCUAGAUUUAUUCACAAGUUAUCGAUAUUUACUAGAUCUGCAAGUUUUAUUCAUUAAAUCUUGUUGUUUUAGUUUUUAUCACAAUUAUCCAGCUUAGAACAUGUUCCGAUCAGCUUUUACUUACAAAUUUACCGUCACACAGUCGGUUAGAUCUGUUUUAAGUGUUGUUCACGUAGUACUAUUUAGAUUGUACUUUACGCUUCCUUUACAUCUACUACAUCCGCAUCAGCUGAUCUAGCCGAUUGUCUUUUCU